UGCCCAAGACAGAUAAUGCUUCAAAGGAUGGU
RNAcentral lists this non-coding RNA (32 nucleotides) under Mus musculus (house mouse). Lineage: Eukaryota; Metazoa; Chordata; Mammalia; Rodentia; Muridae. The record is from RNAcentral.